CCCUUAGAUGUUCUGGGCCGCACGCGCGCUACACUGAUGCAUUCAACGAGUCUAAAACCUGCUCUGAUAGGGGUGGGUAAUCUUUUGAAUGUGCAUCGUGAUUGGGAUAGAUGAUGGCAAUUUUUCAUCUUCAACGAGGAAUGCCUAGUAAACGCAAGUCAUCAGCUUGCAUUGAUUACGUCCCUGCCCUUUGUACACACCGCCCGUCGCUCCUACCGAUUGAAUGAUCCGAUGAAUAUCAUGGAUUGAGGAUGCAAGUAGGUUCGCCUAUCUUCAUCUUCGAGAAGUGAAGUAAAUCUUAUCAUUUAGAGGAAGGAGAAGUCGUAACA
This 329-nucleotide ribosomal RNA is filed under the name uncultured eukaryote. RNAcentral's name for it is "partial 18S ribosomal RNA". It matches the Rfam family "Eukaryotic small subunit ribosomal RNA", at positions 1470 to 1796 of the family's 1831-position model. The record is from RNAcentral.